ACCUAAACCUGAUUGAAAUGGCAUUCCGAUCCUUUAUCGGAAUAUAAUGAAAAGCAGGACUGACG
Molecule: non-coding RNA, 65 nt
Organism: Pedobacter kyungheensis
Lineage: Bacteria; Pseudomonadati; Bacteroidota; Sphingobacteriia; Sphingobacteriales; Sphingobacteriaceae
Source: Rfam